ACAGCAGUAGCCACGGUAAUACAGAGGAUGCAAGCGUUAUCCGGAAUGAUUGGGCGUAAAGCGUCUGUAGGUGGCUUUUCAAGUCCGCCGUCAAAUCCCAGGGCUCAACCCUGGACAGGCGGUGGAAACUACCAAGCUGGAGUACGGUAGGGGCAGAGGGAAUUUCCGGUGGAGCGGCGAAAUGCGUUGAGAUCGGAAAGAACACCAACGGCGAAAGCACUCUACUGGGCCGACACUGACACUGAGAGACGAAAGCUAGGGGAGCAAAUGGGAUUAGAUACCCCAGUAGUCCCUGUCUCUUAUAC
RNAcentral lists this ribosomal RNA (305 nucleotides) under uncultured bacterium. RNAcentral describes it as "partial 16S ribosomal RNA". It matches the Rfam family "Bacterial small subunit ribosomal RNA", at positions 505 to 807 of the family's 1533-position model. The record is from RNAcentral.